Perognathus longimembris pacificus (Pacific pocket mouse) is the source of this 1138-nucleotide RNA transcript. It is a transcript of the gene named SIVA1 apoptosis inducing factor, with no coding region annotated. The transcript is spliced from 5 exons. The record is from RefSeq and is a predicted model, not a curated record. Lineage: Eukaryota; Metazoa; Chordata; Mammalia; Rodentia; Heteromyidae.
UCGAGGUCGCCGAGGCGCGCGGCCGUCCGCGUCCUGCAGCCCCGCGGCCCCGCGGCCCCGCGGCCAUGCCCAAGCGGGGCUGCCCGUUCGCCGACGCCGCCCCGCUGCAGCUCAAGGUCCGCGUGGGCCCGAGGGAGCUGAGCCGCGGCGUGUGCGGCGAGCGCUACGCGCGAGAGGUCUUCGAGAGGACCAAGCAGCUCCUUUUCCGCGGGGCCCAGGCCUGCAGGGGUCACACGUGGGGCGAAGGCUGUGCCAUCGUCCACCUGCCAGAGUCUCCGCAGCCCGGCCCCACGGGGACCCCGCGGGCUACCAGAGGGCAGAUGCUGAUUGGACCCGAUGGCCGACUGAUCCGGAGCUGCGCCCAGGCUUCCGAUGCUGACGCGUCCGGGACGGCGCCCGUGGCGUGCUCCUCGUGCGUGCGAGCCGUGGACGGGAAGGCCGCGUGCAGCCAGUGCGAGCAGGCGGUGUGCCGGCAGUGCGUGCGCACCUGCUGGGGCUGUGGCGCCGUGGCCUGCGCCCUGUGUGGCCUCGCAGACUCCGGCGACGGCGACGUCUGCGAGGAGGCGCUGUGCGCAGGCUGCGCCAUGUUUGCCGUCUGAGGCGGCGGGGGAAGGCAGCUCCACCAGACGGCGCCCGGCUGCCUGCCGCAGGAGGCGACGCGGCGGUCGCAUGGGAUGUUUUGUAGCUCUGAUGACAGAACUCAGGAGGUGGGACUCCAAUCAAACACUUCACGAGACCUCUUAGCGACCAAUAAGAAGCUGGGAUAGCGCGUGGCCUGUCAUCUCAGCCCUGGUGGGAAGCAGAAAUGGAAGGAUCGCAGUCCAGGCCAACCUGAGCAUCAAUACAAGUUUCUAGUCAAAGUCCAAGGCAAAGGACACGAGGUGCACCCCAAGGGUAGUGCACCGGCUGGCAGGCCGAGGCCCCGGGUCAAGCCCCAGCACUGCCAGAAGCAGAGACGCAGGAAGGGACCCACUGUGGGACCCAGAAGUGACCGGGGGACUGAGCAGUUCUAAGUAGACAAAGACAAAAAAAUGGCUGUCGUUCUUUUUUUUUAAUACAGUGUUGGUAUUAGGGUGUUGUACAGAGGGGUUGCCACUCAUAAAUCAGGUGAUGAGUCCAGUUCUUGGACAAUGUCAUC